UACGGGAGGCAGCAGUGGGGAAUAUUGCACAAUGGGCGAAAGCCUGAUGCAGCUAUGCCGCGUGUAUGAAGAAGGCCUUAGGGUUGUAAAGUACUUUCAUCGGGGAGGAAAAAACAAAACUAAUAAUUUUAUUUCUUGACGUUACCCGAAAAAGAAGCACCGGCUAACUCCGUGCCAGCAGCCGCGGUAAUACGGAGGGUGCUAGCGUUAAUCAGAAUUACUGGGCGUAAAGAGCACGUAGGUGGUUUUUUUAAAGUCAGAUGUGAAAUCCCUGGGCUUAACCUGGAACUGCAUUUUGAAACUGAAAUACUAGAGUAUCGUAGAGGGAGGUAGAAUUCUAGGUGUAGCGGUGAAAUGCGUAGAUAUCUGGAGGAAUACCUGUGGCGAAAGCGGCCUCCUAAACGAAUACUGACACUGAGGUGCGAAAGCGUGGGGAGCAAACGAGGGAUUAGAUACC
RNAcentral lists this ribosomal RNA (457 nucleotides) under uncultured bacterium. Its description in RNAcentral is "bacterial SSU rRNA". It matches the Rfam family "Bacterial small subunit ribosomal RNA", at positions 340 to 786 of the family's 1533-position model. The record is from RNAcentral.